UUGGAGGGCAAGUCUGGUGCCAGCAGCCGCGGUAAUCCAGCUCCAAUAGCGUAUAUUAAAGUUGUUGCAGUUAAAAAGCUCGUAGUUGAAUUUCGGGAUUUGUCAGUGGUCGGCCUUCACUGUCCGUAUUGACUUGAUGGAUUCUUACCUUCUGAAUAACCAGCAUGCUAUUGAGUUAGUGCGUUGGGGAAGCAGAUCUAUUACCUUGAAAAAAUUAGAGUGCUUAAAGCGAGCUAGUGCUUGAAUAGAUUAGCAUGGAAUAAUAAAUAGGACGGCAUGGUUCUAUUUUGUUGGUUUCUAGGAUCACCGUAAUGAUUAAUAGGGAUAGUUGGGCAUUAGUAUUCAAUUGUCAGAGGUGAAAUUCUUGGAUUAUUGAAGACUAACUUCUGCGAAAGCAUUUGCCAAGGAUGUUUCAUUAAUCAAGAACGAAAGUUAGGGAUCGAAGACGAUCAGAUACCGUCGUAGUCUUAACCAUAACUAUGCCGACUAGGAAUCGGACGAUGUUAAUUUAUAAUGACUCGUUCGGCACCUUACGGGAAAC
This 541-nucleotide ribosomal RNA is filed under the name Acaulospora rugosa. RNAcentral describes it as "SSU rRNA". It matches the Rfam family "Eukaryotic small subunit ribosomal RNA", at positions 548 to 1098 of the family's 1831-position model. The record is from RNAcentral. Lineage: Eukaryota; Fungi; Glomeromycota; Glomeromycetes; Diversisporales; Acaulosporaceae. RNAcentral also lists the same sequence under 1 other name.